CACAGGGGGGGCAAGUAUUAUUCUUCAUGACUGGGCGUAAAGGAUAUGUAGGCGGCUUUAUUUAAAUUAUUAAAAGAAAUGCUAUGAAAAAAUUAUAGAUAAUUUUAAUAAUUUAUAAAGCUUUGAGUUUAUAAAAGAUAUUAGAAACUUUAGAGUAAUUGUGAAAAGUACAGAGACUAAACAUAGAAUUCCAAAUGGCGAAAGCAUGUAUCUUGUUAAAACUGACGCUGAAAUAUGAAGGUUUGGGUAGCGAAUAGG
RNAcentral lists this ribosomal RNA (258 nucleotides) under uncultured bacterium. Its description in RNAcentral is "partial 16S ribosomal RNA". It matches the Rfam family "Bacterial small subunit ribosomal RNA", at positions 524 to 776 of the family's 1533-position model. The record is from RNAcentral.